CCUACGGGAGGCAGCAGUGAGGAAUAUUGGUCAAUGGACGAGAGUCUGAACCAGCCAAGUAGCGUGAAGGAUGACUGCCCUAUGGGUUGUAAACUUCUUUUAUAAAGGAAUAAAACGAGGCACGUGUGCCUUUUUGCAUGUACUUUAUGAAUAAGGAUCGGCUAACUCCGUGCCAGCAGCCGCGGUAAUACGGAGGAUCCGAGCGUUAUCCGGAUUUAUUGGGUUUAAAGGGAGCGUAGAUGGGUUGUUAAGUCAGUUGUGAAAGUUUGCGGCUCAACCGUAAAAUUGCAAUUGAUACUGGCAGUCGUGAGUACAGUUGAGGUAGGCGGAAUUCGUGGUGUAGCGGUGAAAUGCUUAGAGAUCACGAAGAACCCCGAUUGCGAAGGCAGCUUACUAAACUGUGACUGACAUUGAUGCUCGAAAGUGUGGGUAUCAAACAGGAUUAGAUACCCUUGUAGUC
Molecule: ribosomal RNA, 460 nt
Filed under: uncultured bacterium
Lineage: Bacteria
Description: partial 16S ribosomal RNA
Rfam family: Bacterial small subunit ribosomal RNA
Source: RNAcentral